Molecule: long non-coding RNA, 278 nt
Organism: Gossypium arboreum
Lineage: Eukaryota; Viridiplantae; Streptophyta; Magnoliopsida; Malvales; Malvaceae
Exons: 3
Source: RefSeq, a predicted model, not a curated record
AUAAUGGGUUAGGUAAAUGUUUCAUGAUAAGAAUUUCAUGUCUUUUGUAUUAAAGAAUUAAAUGGAUGAAAUAUGAAGUUUUAUUAAAAGAAAAAGGGGUGAAAAGAAUAAAGUUUUGUCCAUCUUUGUUCAUCAUAGCUGAAAGUUAGAGAAGAGAAAGGAGAGGAGAAAGCUCUUGAGUAUUCGGUCAUUAGGAGGAGGAAAAUUAAAGGUGGUUCGUGUGUGGAUGUCGUCAGCAUAUCGUCGCAAACAGGUAAUCCCCAACCAUAGUGGGCUUG